Molecule: long non-coding RNA, 1650 nt
Organism: Cercocebus atys (sooty mangabey)
Lineage: Eukaryota; Metazoa; Chordata; Mammalia; Primates; Cercopithecidae
Source: Ensembl
CCUCACCCUCCCACCCCAGGCCUCGAGUCUGGGUUCUUAGAGAACUCUGGGGUCAGCUGAACCCAGCUGGUGACCUCCAUCAAGUCCCAUGAAGACCUUGGCUUCCUGUUCUGUAAAUGGAGGAUCAGUCUCUCUUGCGGAAUGUUCUCAGAUUAGCACACAGUGGGUCCUCACUGAAUGGCUAGCCAGCAGUUGUUGGUUGAAUAAGCUAAAGGUGUUUUUCUCCUUGAAAGGAGUAGCCAAUUAGAUAAGGAACCCGUGUAUAUGACAUUCCACAAAUAUUUAUUGAGCACCUAUUAUAUUUCAGGCAUUGUCCUGGUACUAUGGAGCAAUGAACAAACAAGACAAAAAUGCCCCCAUCACCUUUGGAGCCCACAUCUCUUCGGAGCUGCCCUACAUUUCCUGAGUAGGAAACUGAGACUCUGAGAGAUGAAGCUACUUGCCAACGCCACGCAGCUCAGCCACAUCCCACUGAACAUCAUCCUGUUCCCUGGGGUCCUCACAGCACCUCCUGCAAACAGACCUCCGACCCAAGCCCUUCCUUCUGCCUCCACUGCCACCAUUGCUGCUCAUCUCUGCUGGCACAGAAGUCUCGUCCCUGGUCCUCCAGAAAUCCCCUCUCCAUAUUCAGCGAGAGGGAGCUGUUAAAACUGCGGGCCAGCCCACAUCAGUCCCCGGCAAAGUCCUCUCUAAGGGAUCCCGUUGCUUGGAGAAUAAACCCUCGGAUUCCUUCCUUGGCUCUCGGGGCCUCCUCUCUGACCUCCCUCUGUCUCCUCUCCCAGCCUUCCUCCUCACUUACCCUCCAGCCACGCUGGCUUCCUCUUUGCUCCUGAAACAGCCUGAGGCCCACACUGCCGCGGGCCCUUUGCACUGGCUGUUCCCUCUACCUGGAACACUUCUCCCAGGCUUCCACAGGGCUCCCUCCCGCAAUUCCUUCGGGUGCCCACCUGGGAAGCCUUUCCUGACCGCCCCCCACUUCCUUCUGAGCACGGUCGGGUCUUUCUACCUGGUAUAUGAGGGCAGGGAUUUUUGUCUGCUGUGUUCUCUGUGUGCCCCAGUGCCAUCACAGUGUCUGGCAGAUGGUAAGUGCUCGACACACAUUGGCUGACUGCCUGAAUGAACAACUCUAUGGGCUGAUGGCAGUUAAGGACACUGAGGUCCUCUGGGGUAGGUGACCAGCCCAAGGCCACACAGCUGGUUUGAGAUUAGGCCAGGAGAGGAGCCCGGGUUGGUCACAUCCUGGAGCUGGUGUCUUGGAAACUGCAUCAGGAGAAUAACAAAGAUGAGACUCAGGCUCUAACAAGCGGAUACCAGCGACUCUUGCCCCGCCAGCCCCAGCCCUGCGGCCUUGGGCCCUUCCAGGAGUCAUGGUCUGCCUGCCUGGGGCAUUCCAGGCUUCAGCCCAGGUCCUGCGCUUUCUAUUUUGAGCCUCUUAGUCCUGAGGACUGUGUGUUCCCAGCAGGCGGCACGGGCCAGAGGCUGAGCCUGGGUGUGGCUGUCACCCUAUCUGGGGCCAGGGACCCAGAUUCCCGGGCCCUUAACCUGUUGGCUGCUGAGGGCUCUGGCAUAAGCCCUGUUCCCUGCUUGAUUGUCUCCCCUUCAAGCCCCUGCGCUGGUGUCUUCCAGGCAUGGUAUCAGCCCAUCUCACCU